UACGUAGGGGGCAAGCGUUGUCCGGAAUUAUUGGGCGUAAAGCGCGCGCAGGCGGUCUCUUAAGUCUGAUGUGAAAUCUUGCGGCUCAACCGCAAGCGGUCAUUGGAAACUGGGAGACUUGAGUACAGAAGAGGAGAGUGGAAUUCCAUGUGUAGCGGUGAAAUGCGUAGAUAUAUGGAGGAACACCAGUGGCGAAGGCGACUCUCUGGUCUGUAACUGACGCUGAGGCGCGAAAGCGUGGGGAGCAAACAGG
This 253-nucleotide ribosomal RNA is filed under the name uncultured bacterium. RNAcentral describes it as "partial 16S ribosomal RNA". It matches the Rfam family "Bacterial small subunit ribosomal RNA", at positions 524 to 776 of the family's 1533-position model. The record is from RNAcentral.